Molecule: ribosomal RNA, 305 nt
Filed under: uncultured bacterium
Lineage: Bacteria
Description: bacterial SSU rRNA
Rfam family: Bacterial small subunit ribosomal RNA
Source: RNAcentral
UUCCUACGGGGCGCAGCAGUGGGGGAUAUUGCACAAUGGGGGGAACCCUGAUGCAGCGACGCCGCGUGGGCGAUGGAGCGCCUCGGCGCGUAAAGCCCUAUCAGCAGGGAAGAAGAUGACGGUACCUGACUAAGAAGCCCCGGCUAAAUACGUGCCAGCAGCCGCGGUAAUACGUAUGGGGCAAGCGUUAUCCGGAUUUACUGGGUGUAAAGGGAGCGCAGGCGGCUUGGCAAGUCUGAUGUGAAAGGCUGGGGCUCAACCCCAGGACUGCAUUGGAAACUGUUAGGCUGGAGUGUCGGAGAGGG